This 207-nucleotide ribosomal RNA is filed under the name uncultured bacterium. RNAcentral's name for it is "partial 16S ribosomal RNA". It matches the Rfam family "Bacterial small subunit ribosomal RNA", at positions 568 to 774 of the family's 1533-position model. The record is from RNAcentral.
CGUGUAGGUGGUUGACUAGGUUUGAUGUGAAAUCCCCGGGCUUAACCUGGGAAUUGCGUCGAAAACGGGUCGACUCGAGUGAGAUAGAGGGUUGUGGAAUUUCCGGUGUAGCGGUGAAAUGCGUAGAUAUCGGAAAGAACAUCAGUGGCGAAGGCGACAACCUGGAUCUUAACUGACACUGAGGCGCGAAGGCGUGGGGAGCAAACA